CCUACGUGGGACUGCAGUGGGGAAUAUUGCGCAAUGGGCGAAAGCCUGACGCAGCGACGCCGCGUGAGGGAUGAAGGUCUUCGGAUCGUAAACCUCUGUCAGCAGGGCAGAACGGUCACUGUGCUAAUCAGCAGUGAAUUGACGGUACCUGCAAAGUAAGCACCGGCUAACUACGUGCCAGCAGCCGCGGUAAUACGGAGGGUGCGAGCGUUAAUCGGAAUUACUGGGCGUAAAGCGCUCGUAGGCGGUAUGUCAAGGCAAGGGUGAAAUCCCCGCGCUCAACGUGGGAACUGCAUUUGAAACUGGCAAACUGGAGUGUGUGAGAGGAUAGUGGAAUUCCAGGUGUAGGAGUGAAAUCCGUAGAUAUCUGGAGGAACAUCAGUGGCGAAGGCGACUAUCUGGCACAUAACUGACGCUGAGGAGCGAAAGCGUGGGUAGCAAACAGGAUUAGAUACCCUUGUAGUC
Molecule: ribosomal RNA, 465 nt
Filed under: uncultured bacterium
Lineage: Bacteria
Description: partial 16S ribosomal RNA
Rfam family: Bacterial small subunit ribosomal RNA
Source: RNAcentral